This 495-nucleotide ribosomal RNA is filed under the name uncultured bacterium. RNAcentral describes it as "partial 16S ribosomal RNA". It matches the Rfam family "Bacterial small subunit ribosomal RNA", at positions 28 to 507 of the family's 1533-position model. The record is from RNAcentral.
GACGAACGCUGGCGGCGUGCCUAAUACAUGCAAGUAGAACGCUGAAGGAGGAGCUUGCUUCUCUGGAUGAGUUGCGAACGGGUGAGUAACGCGUAGGUAACCUGCCUGGUAGCGGGGGAUAACUAUUGGAAACGAUAGCUAAUACCGCAUAAGAGUAGAUGUUGCAUGACAUUUGCUUAAAAGGUGCAAUUGCAUCACUACCAGAUGGACCUGCGUUGUAUUAGCUAGUUGGUGGGGUAACGGCUUACCAAGGCGACGAUACAUAGCCGACCUGAGAGGGUGAUCGGCCACACUGGGACUGAGACACGGCCCAGACUCCUACGGGAGGCAGCAGUAGGGAAUCUUCGGCAAUGGACGGAAGUCUGACCGAGCAACGCCGCGUGAGUGAAGAAGGUUUUCGGAUCGUAAAGCUCGGUUGUAAGAGAAGAACGAGUGUGAGAGUGGAAAGUUCACACUGUGACGGUAUCUUACCAGAAAGGGACGGCUAACUACGUG